RNAcentral lists this transfer RNA (87 nucleotides) under Prevotellaceae bacterium. RNAcentral's name for it is "tRNA-Ser". It matches the Rfam family "tRNA". From Rfam's summary of the family: Transfer RNA (tRNA) molecules are approximately 80 nucleotides in length. Lineage: Bacteria; Pseudomonadati; Bacteroidota; Bacteroidia; Bacteroidales; Prevotellaceae. The record is from RNAcentral.
GGUGAGGUGGGUGAGUGGCUGAAACCACCAGUUUGCUAAACUGACGUAGGGGAAACUCUACCGGGGGUUCGAAUCCCCCCCUCACCG